GUGCACCUACGGGACGCAGCAGUGGGGGAUAUUGCACAAUGGGGGAAACCCUGAUGCAGCGACGCCGCGUGUGGGAAGACGGUCCUCUGGAUUGUAAACCACUGUCCCCAGGGACGAAGAUGACGGUACCGGGGGAGGAAGCUCCGGCUAACUACGUGCCAGCAGCCGCGGUAAUACGUAGGGAGCGAGCGUUGUCCGGAAUUACUGGGUGUAAAGGGAGCGUAGGCGGGGAUGCAAGCCAGGAGUGAAAGCCCGGGGCCCAACCCCGGGACUGCUCUUGGGACUGCGUGGCUAGAGUGGAGGAG
This 305-nucleotide ribosomal RNA is filed under the name uncultured bacterium. Its description in RNAcentral is "bacterial SSU rRNA". It matches the Rfam family "Bacterial small subunit ribosomal RNA", at positions 333 to 654 of the family's 1533-position model. The record is from RNAcentral.